AGAGCGAACGCUGGCGGCAGGCCUAACACAUGCAAGUCGAGCGCCCGUAGCAAUACGGGAGCGGCAGACGGGAUAGUAACACGUGGGAACGCGCCCUUCGGUUCGGAAUAACUCAGGGAAACUUGAGCUAAUACCGGAUACGCCCUUACGGGGAAAGAUUUAUUGCCGAAGGAACGGCCCGCGUCCGAUUAGCUAGUUGGUGAGGUAAUGGCUCACCAAGGCGACGAUCGGUAGCUGGUCUGAGAGGAUGACCAGCAUCACUGGGACUGAGACACGGCCCAGACUCCUACGGGAGGCAGCAGUGGGGAAUAUGGACAAUGGGCGCAAGCCUGAUCCAGCCAUGCCGCGUGGAUGAUGAAGGCCUUAGGGUUGUAAAGUCCUUUUAACGGGAAGAUAAUGACGGUACCCGUAGAAUAAGCCCGGCUAACUUCGUGCCAGCAGCCGC
Molecule: ribosomal RNA, 445 nt
Filed under: uncultured bacterium
Lineage: Bacteria
Description: SSU rRNA
Rfam family: Bacterial small subunit ribosomal RNA
Source: RNAcentral